Molecule: ribosomal RNA, 438 nt
Filed under: uncultured bacterium
Lineage: Bacteria
Description: partial 16S ribosomal RNA
Rfam family: Bacterial small subunit ribosomal RNA
Source: RNAcentral
CUACGGGGGGCAGCAGUGAGGAAUAUUGCACAAUGGGGGGAACCCUGAUGCAGCAACGCCGCGUGGAGGAUGACGCAUUUCGGUGUGUAAACUCCUUUUAUAUGUCAAGAAAAUGACGGUAGCAUAUGAAUAAGCACCGGCUAACUCGUGCCAGCAGCCGCGGUAAUACGGAGGGUGCAAGCGUUACUCGGAGUCACUGGGCGUAAAGGACGCGUAGGCGGGUUGGAAAGUCAGGUGUGAAAUCCUACAGCUUAACUGUAGAACUGCACUUGAAACUUCUAAUCUAGAGUAUGGGAGGGGGAGAUGGAAUUAGUGGUGUAGGGGUAAAAUCCGUAGAUAUCACUAGGAAUACCUAAAGCGAAGGCGAUCUCCUGGAACAUUACUGACGCUAAGGCGUGAAAGCGUGGGGAGCAAACAGGAUUAGAUACCCUAGUAGUC